AAGCUUGCUUUUAUGACGUUAGCGGCGGACGGGUGAGUAACACGUGGGCAACCUGCCUGUAAGACUGGGAUAACUUCGGGAAACCGAAGCUAAUACCGGAUAGGAUCUUCUCCUUCAUGGGAGANGAUUGAAAGAUGGUUUCGGCCUAGUCACCUUACAGAUGGGCCCGCGGUGCAUUAGCCUAGUUGGUGAGGUAACGGCCUCACCAAGGCAACGAUGCAUAGCCGACCUGAGAGGGUGAUCGGCCACACUGGGACUGAGACACGGCCCAGACUCCUACGGGAGGCAGCAGUAGGGAAUCUUCCGCAAUGGACGAAAGUCUGACGGAGCAACGCCGCGUGAGUGAUGAAGGCUUUCGGGUCGUAAAACUCUGUUGUUAGGGAAGAACAAGUACUAGAGUAACUGCUCGUACCUUGAC
This 418-nucleotide ribosomal RNA is filed under the name Bacillus sp. RZ-213. RNAcentral describes it as "bacterial SSU rRNA". It matches the Rfam family "Bacterial small subunit ribosomal RNA", at positions 76 to 473 of the family's 1533-position model. The record is from RNAcentral. Lineage: Bacteria; Bacillati; Bacillota; Bacilli; Caryophanales; Bacillaceae.